GAUGAACGCUAGCGGCAGGCCUAAUACAUGCAAGCCGAACGGUAAGUUUGAUAGCAAUAUUGGACCUAGAGUGGCGCAAGGGUGCGUAACACGUAUGCAACCUGCCCGCGACAGGAGGAUAGCUCCCCGAAAGGGGAAUUAACCCUCCAUAACACCAUGAGAAGGCCUCUGAUUAUGGUUAAACCGCAAUGGGUCGCGGAUGGGCAUGCGGUUGAUUAGCUAGUUGGCGGGGUAAAGGCCCACCAAGGCGGUGAUCAAUAGGGGUUCUGAGAGGAAGGGCCCCAACACUGGCACGGGGAGACGGGCCAGACUACGACGGGAGGCAGCAGUAGGGAAUAUUGGACAAUGGUUGCAAGACUGAUCCAGCCAUGCCGCGUGCAGGAAGAAGGCCUUCUGGGUCGUAAACUGCUUUUUCCUGUGGAGAAAAGACCCGGGCGCGGGGAAGUGAAGGUAACAGGGGAAUAAGCCACGGCUAACUACGUG
Molecule: ribosomal RNA, 483 nt
Filed under: uncultured bacterium
Lineage: Bacteria
Description: partial 16S ribosomal RNA
Rfam family: Bacterial small subunit ribosomal RNA
Source: RNAcentral